This 467-nucleotide ribosomal RNA is filed under the name uncultured bacterium. RNAcentral describes it as "partial 16S ribosomal RNA". It matches the Rfam family "Bacterial small subunit ribosomal RNA", at positions 28 to 507 of the family's 1533-position model. The record is from RNAcentral.
GACGAACGCUGGCGGCGUGCUUAACACAUGCAAGUCGAACGGAAAGGCCUCUUUCGGGGGGUACUCGAGUGGCGAACGGGUGAGUAACACGUGAGUAACCUGCCCUUGACUUUGGGAUAACUUCAGGAAGCUGGGGCUAAUACCGGAUAGGAGCUCCUGCUGCAUGGUGGGGGUUGGAAAGUUUCGGCGGUUGGGGAUGGACUCGCGGCUUAUCAGCUUGUUGGUGGGGUAGUGGCUUACCAAGGCUUUGACGGGUAGCCGGCCUGAGAGGGUGACCGGCCACAUUGGGACUGAGAUACGGCCCAGACUCCUACGGGAGGCAGCGGUGGGGAAUAUUGCACAAUGGGUGGAAGCCUGAUGCAGCAACGCCGUGUGCGGGAUGACGGCCUUCGGGUUGUAAACCGCUUUCGCUCAUGACGAAGCUUUGUGUGACGGUAGUGGGUAAAGAAGCACCGGCUAACUACGUG